UGACCUGUUCCAAGUAUGAAGGUCAUAUAUUUUCUGGGGCAUGUCCUAAUGUAUAACCUUGUAUCUGUGUUGUUAGAUCAGGAGAAAGUCUCUGACUAUGAGACUAAAUUGAUGGACUUGGAUGUGGAACAGCUCCGUAUUCCAGAACAAGAGCACAAUUGUGUGGUGAAAAUGCCGUCUGGCGAAUUCUCACGGAUUUGUAGAGGCCUGUCCCAAAUCGGGGAUGCUGUCAUGAUCACUUGUGCGGAAGGCGGGGUCCAGUUCUCAGCCAGUGGGGAGUUGGGCACUGGCAACAUCAAGCUGUCCCAGACCAACAUUGUGGACAAUGAGGAUGAGUGAACAUUUAGAUCAAAUAACCAGUACGGCUGAUCUUUACCCUCAACUACCUGAACUUCUUCUCCAGAGCUACUCCUCUCUCUCCAACACGGUCACCCUCUGCAUGUCAGCUGGCGUCCCUCUAGUGAUGGAGUACAGGAUUGCAGACAUCGGCCACAUCAAGUACUACCUGGCACCUAAAAAUUGACGAGGAUGCAUCCUAAUCGUCAACCUGACCUAAAGCACGUCAGACAACACGUGGACUGAACCCUUUUAAGAAGACUGUCUGGUGCUAGUGGAAGGUUACCUUUAAAGACGUUUGGCGGUUCUGCACUUCCCAAUAUGUUACAGAUGUCAGUUAAAUCCUGUAGGAAUGGUGUGUACUAUAUCAUGGUUAAUGACAAUAUAACUAGAGCGAGGUUGUAUGUGUUAUGUAAGAAACAUUGAAGUUGUCUGGUGGAUACAGUAUGUUUGCCACGGAUUGUUUAUCCUCAUCAUACUGCUCCUCUCAAUAAUGUAUUCUAGGCUAACUGUUUAUUCCUAUUUUACCCACAUCCUUUGUAAAUAUGCUGUUUUGUUACACACAAAUAAAGUUCUAUAG
Molecule: RNA transcript, 916 nt
Organism: Oncorhynchus kisutch (coho salmon)
Lineage: Eukaryota; Metazoa; Chordata; Actinopteri; Salmoniformes; Salmonidae
Gene name: proliferating cell nuclear antigen
Exons: 4
Source: RefSeq, a predicted model, not a curated record